UACGAAGGGGGGCUAGCGUUGCUCGGAAUCACUGGGCGUAAAGGGCGCGUAGGCGGAUCUUUAAGUCGGGGGUGAAAGCCCAGGGCUCAACCCUGGAAAGGCCGUGGAAACUGGUGAGCUAGAGUGCGGUAGGGGGCAGAGGGAAUUCCCAGUGUAGCGGUGAAAUGCGCAGAUAUCAGGAGGAACACCGAUGGCGAAGGCAGCUCGCUGGGACGGUACUGAGCUGAGGCGCGAAAGCGUGGGGGAGCAAACAGG
RNAcentral lists this ribosomal RNA (255 nucleotides) under uncultured bacterium. RNAcentral's name for it is "partial 16S ribosomal RNA". It matches the Rfam family "Bacterial small subunit ribosomal RNA", at positions 524 to 776 of the family's 1533-position model. The record is from RNAcentral.